UGAGCUCAACCACGAAAGCCCCCUGGCCC
RNAcentral lists this non-coding RNA (29 nucleotides) under Rattus norvegicus (Norway rat). Lineage: Eukaryota; Metazoa; Chordata; Mammalia; Rodentia; Muridae. The record is from RNAcentral.